ACAUUGGCGGUUCAGUGGUAGAAUUCUCAUCUUCGGUGUGGGAGACCUGGGUUUGAUUCUUGGCUGAUGCA
This 71-nucleotide transfer RNA is filed under the name Loxodonta africana (African savanna elephant). It matches the Rfam family "tRNA". From Rfam's summary of the family: Transfer RNA (tRNA) molecules are approximately 80 nucleotides in length. Lineage: Eukaryota; Metazoa; Chordata; Mammalia; Proboscidea; Elephantidae. The record is from Rfam by way of RNAcentral.